RNAcentral lists this ribosomal RNA (212 nucleotides) under uncultured bacterium. RNAcentral's name for it is "partial 16S ribosomal RNA". It matches the Rfam family "Bacterial small subunit ribosomal RNA", at positions 1289 to 1500 of the family's 1533-position model. The record is from RNAcentral.
CAGUUCAGAUUGUAGGCUGAAACUCGCCUAUAUGAAGUCGGAAUUGCUAGUAAUCGCGGAUCAGCAUGCCGCGGUGAAUACGUUCCCGGGCCUUGUACACACCGCCCGUCACACCAUGAGAGUCGAUAACACCCGAAGCCUGUAGUCUAACAGCAAUGAGGACGCAGUCGAAGGUGGGAUUGAUAAUUAGGGUGAAGUCGUAACAAGGUAAC